Non-coding RNA from Acanthosepion pharaonis, 108 nucleotides. The record is from the annotation of a GenBank genome assembly. NCBI's taxonomy places the organism in Eukaryota, Metazoa, Mollusca, Cephalopoda, Sepiida, Sepiidae.
GGCCGUAUCACAUUGAAACAUUGGUUCUCGUCCGAUCACCAAAGUUAAGCAACAUCGAGCCUGGUCUGUACGUAGAUGGCUGACAGCUUAGGAAUACCAGGCGCUAUA